ACCGAGCUCAGGCCGACGCCAAAUGCUGCCGCCGCGGGGGGCUGCCAGCACCACGACCGAACUGUUAAUGGAUUUUCCUGCUUCUCUGCUCAAGUACAACGGAAAGACUGUGUGCUAAAACUUCCAAUUAGUAAGAGGGAAGAAAAACGAACGGCAAUGAUUUUCUGAAAUCGUAAAACUGAAAUCGUCUUGCUUCCUCAUCCGGUUGCUUUUGUUUCCCCUUCAGUUUAAUACAGUCGCAAAGUCUAAUUUAAGACAUGUCCUAACUUAUUAUUUAUAUAGACUAUGGUCACCAGAAUCACGGCUGUAUUGAUGCCUGGAGAAGACAAACCAAAAUACUCCUGGUUGAAAACAUCACUCAUGGCUCUUAAGAGUUCUUACUCAAAGAUGUUGUGAGAAUAGAUCGCUGUUCUGGGACUUCAGCACCUGGAUCAGAAGAAACUGUGCUCAGCAUCUUUCAGCUCUCCCCACCUGCACUCGCCUGCUCAGAUCCAAAAUUUCUAUCAAAACCCCACAGCAGUCAUGUACACCGGACUCAAGUUGUAAGAAGG
This 551-nucleotide long non-coding RNA is filed under the name Equus asinus (donkey). Its description in RNAcentral is "lncRNA (ENSEASG00005037218.1, ENSEASG00020012923.1)". The record is from RNAcentral. Lineage: Eukaryota; Metazoa; Chordata; Mammalia; Perissodactyla; Equidae.